This 409-nucleotide ribosomal RNA is filed under the name Mantidactylus femoralis. RNAcentral's name for it is "partial 16S ribosomal RNA". It matches the Rfam family "Bacterial large subunit ribosomal RNA", at positions 2020 to 2597 of the family's 2925-position model. The record is from RNAcentral. Lineage: Eukaryota; Metazoa; Chordata; Amphibia; Anura; Mantellidae.
CUCCUUUCUCUAAUCAGUGAAACUAAUCUCCCCGUGAAGAAGCGAGGAUAACACUAUAAGACGAGAAGACCCCAUGGAGCUUUAAACCCAAUUAUAUCCCUAACCCCUAUACCCAUUUAACCUCUUAGGCCUAUAUACUUGGUUUUAGGUUGGGGCGACCACGGAGUAAAACCAAACCUCCAUGAUGUACGGAACAACCUCCUUAUCUAAGAGCCACAGCUCUAAGAAUUAGCACACUAUCAUAAAAUGACCCAUUAUUGAUCAACGAACCAAGUUACCCUGGGGAUAACAGCGCAAUCCAUUUUAAGAGCCCCUAUCGACAAAUGGGUUUACGACCUCGAUGUUGGAUCAGGAUAUCCCAGUGGUGCAGCAACUACUAAAGGUUCGUUUGUUCAACGAUCAAAAUCCU